CGUGAGACAAGUGAACCUCCCUGCUUAUAGGGGCGAUGAGCCCAGACCCCCUGGUGCUUUUCAUGGUGAGCUCUCCCGUCCCGGACAGAUGUUGCGUGAGGAGCUUGGCUCACAGGAGGUGAGAAACUAACAGUCAGCUUCCCAGGAUUCUACUGAAAGACUCCAACAGCUGCCUUUUCUUAGCGUGACGAACCCAAUGUUACAUUUGUGCGUGACGUGAAUAGAAUUCCAUUCGCUUAAUCCUGAGUGCCUCGAGACUGCCGUGAGCUGGAGCCUGGGGCCGAGCACCCCGAUGGAGCAGUGUCUCCAGAGGAAGGACGCGAGGCCAGAAGAUCUCCUCACGGCCCCCAUCGUCCCUCCCACCAGCCUCCAACUUCAAAGUGAUCUUAGAGUUUCCGUUAUGAUCCUGAACGGCAGCCUGAUGGCUGGUCUAGCACAGAACUGCCUGGGAGCCCUGUUUUCCAAGAACAGCGUCGCCGUUGUGGGUUUGGAGCUGCGGAGGAGGGAGGGGACGUCUUGCUCCCUUCGCUGUGCAGGGACUGUUCAAAUACCUGACGGUGAAGUGGGGCAGCCUUCCCCAUCACAGAGGUUUGGGCAAGGAAAGGAGCAGGAAUCUUCUGAUUUUAUUAGACUUUCUUUCCUUUUCCAACAUUGGACAUAAUCUUUAACUAUCAGGGAAAAUGUUACUUUCAAUGUGUUUUACCAAAAUCCAGUCUCUCUUUAAGGGGUAUUAACUCCGAAUUAAAAGCCCUAAAUCACAUAGCUGCAUGAUGUCAUCGUUAUAUGCUUUUUAAAUCAGCUGCAUCCUUCCCAGCAUACAAACUGAUUUUCUUGUCCCUGUGUCCUCAUUAAGCAAAACAAAUCAGGGUCCACACGCGGAAUCUCUGCCACAGGACUUCGUGUGCAGCUGUUCUUAAAGGAAGUUCCAGGAGAGGAACAUGUUUGUGUUCUUUAAAAAUUACUGCACCAGAAGUUAGCUCAGAGAAUGACUGCUGUCCUCAUUUCUGGUAAUUAUGAUUCAGAGCGAGCAGAGGAACAGGAGCUGGGAAGAGGAUGCGAUGUCUGCCAUGUGCCCGUGGGAUGUCCUGCUCGUGGGCUGUGGGUCUCGCCUCCGCCCCUCAUCACUCUCCGACGUCGGGACAUGCUCGACCCCAGGCUCAAGCCCACUUACUCUGACACUGGGGUCUGUACUUUUCAUUUCACCAAACUUAGAGAAAGCGAAAACCUACACUCAAUUAAAACUUUUAUUCAUUCCAUGCUACACCCAAGAUACUGAUAGAAUUGCAAAUGACAAAUAAAAGAAAAGCAAAAAGAUAUAUGGGAGUAUAUGAGGAAGCCAUUUGGUUUAAAAUUAAUUUGACCUGAAUUUAUUUUUCCAAAAGGGCCUUACGUGACCUGUUGAGCAUGCGUUGUGCAUCUGCUUUAAGCAUUUACUGUGUCCCAAAAAAAGAAUAAUGCCGUUAAAGAUAGGGAUGUACUUCCCCCAUGUUGGCGUUUCUUUAAGGAUAAGCCUCUCUCCCUAAACCAUGGAUUAAUUACUGACCUGCUGUGCUCACCUUGUGACCACUGACCUGCUGUGUUCACCGACCUGCUGUGCCAGCAAAGCAAUCUUAUGACGAUUGUAAAAGGGACAUUCCUGUCACACAUGAUGUGUGUUCUUUGUUCCAAGACGGUAUAAAACCGUUCUGUACACCCCACUUCUUUGGUGCCCUUCCUUCCUUGGGGAAGUCUAGCCUGGGCUAGUCCUCAGAUCUGGCUCAUAAUAAACUCACCCUAAUUUUGAUUUAUGGAUUGGUUAUGGAUUAUUUGUGUUGACACAUAGUUCACUGACUAUUCCUCAUGUGGGAAGUACAAAAUUCUGUAGCUUUGGGAAUCUUAAUUCUUGAAAUAUAAUUUCUUGCUUGUGCUGAACUGCAGCCCUGAUUACAACUCACAAGCUGUGUGGUCUUGGCAGGCCACUGAACCUGGUCCGUAUCUACCUCCCUAUCAAUCUGUCUGUUUCCAUUUGUAAAGGAGAGAUGAUUGCACCACCUGCCCAGUGAGUUUGCUGCACAGGUGACCUGAGACGUUCGUAUCGAGUGCCUGGUGCAGACCCAGGCUCAGACAAGCCCGUCACACCCAGAACAUCUGGAAAGCAGAGGCCAAGCGGCUAGCCCAGGUCUCGCAGAGGCCCAGAACGCGUCUGAAAGGGACUGAGCUCCUGCACCAGGGACGAGGCUGCAGACGCCACGGCCCCGCCCUGCACAGUCUCCUCCCGGCAGGACCGGGGUCCCGUGGCCCCGCACCCCUGGCCUGCUGUUGUGUGGCCCUGCUCGUCCUUCUACUGUGCUCUCCAUGCUCGGCCCUCAGUCCGUGGCGGCCUCUGGGAGCCUGUGGAGCACAGGGCCCGGGUCUGCCUGCACCCGGCUGCCCACAGCUGAUCGCCAGUCAUCUCCCACAAAGAGCUCUUCCAUCUCCAGCGAGGUCACGGCCUCCUAACAGACGCUAUCCUUGUCUUUAUUGCCGUGAACUCCUGCGUAUUUAAAGAUCAUCACUGACUGCGCCCCUCACCGUUACUUUCCAAGGUGAAGACCUUUAGUUGUAGGCAGAUCGUCACAGAAUCUUUGUGUUUUUGCAAAUGACACAUCUGGAGACAUGAGGGUCGGGGGCCUCCAGCCCUGUGAUUGCUUGCUGUCCGCUCUCUGACAGACCACAUAACCCCGGAGCCUUACAAUGAUCUGGGUAAGACUCUUGCGUCAACAAGGUAGUGUCUGUGGAGGUGAUAGCUGGAGGUGUGCCAGCUGCCAGGGAAGCAAGUGGGGCAGAGCUGCAGUGGUCUGUGCCCCACCCAGCACCCUCGGCUCUGAGCGCGCCUUUCCUGGAGAGAGAACGUGGCCCAGCCCCUCAGGGCCCCGCACAGCUCUGUUAUCUGCGAGGCUAACUCGGGAGCCCCG
This is a long non-coding RNA of Equus asinus (donkey), 2933 nucleotides long. NCBI's taxonomy places the organism in Eukaryota, Metazoa, Chordata, Mammalia, Perissodactyla, Equidae. The record is from Ensembl.